CAGCCGCCGCGGUAAUACUAGCACCUCAAAUGGCAGCCGAUUUUAUUGGGCUUAAAGCGUUCGUAGCCUGUUUGGUGGGUCCUUGGUGAAAUCCUGCGGCUUAACCGUAGGGAUUGCCGGGGAAACUACCAGGCUUGAGGACGGGAGAGGUCAGGGGUACUUCUGGGGUAAGGGUGAAAUCUUAUAAUCCUAGAAGGACCAACAGUGGCGAAGGCGCCUGACAUGAACGUGCCUGACGGUGAGGGACGAGAGCCAGGGUCGCGAAACGGAUUAGAUACCCGUGUAGUCCUGGCUGUAAACGAUGCCGACUAGGUGAGAUGUGUUCUUAGUGAACACACCGUGCCGAAGAGAAAUCGUUAAGUCGGCCGCCUGGGUAGUACGUCCGCAAGGAUGAAACUUAAAGGAAUUGGCGGGGGAGCACUACAAGGGGUGGAAGCUGCGGUUCAAUUAGAUUAAACGCUGGACAUCUCACCGGAGGCGACAGCAGGAUGAAGGCCAGGCUGAAGGUCUUGCCGAACGCGCUGAGAAGAGGUGCAUGGCCGCCGUCAGCUCGUGCCGUGAGGUGUUAGGUUAAGUCCUAAAACGAGCGAGACCCACAUUCUUAGUUGCAACUUGCUGCUCAGGCAGUAGGGCACACUAAGAAGACUGCCCGCUAUAAGUGGGAGGAAGGAGUGGACAACGGUAGGUCCGCAUGCCCUGAAUCUUCCGGGCUACACGCGUCUUACAAUGGUCGAUACAAUGGGUUGCAACCCCGAAAGGGGGAGCUAAUCCCUAAAGUCGAUCCCAGUACGGAUCGAGGAUUGAAACUCAUCCUCGUGAAGUUGGAAUCCCUAGUAAUCGCAGUUCAUUAUGCUGCGGUGAAUACGUCCCUGCCCCUUGCACAC
RNAcentral lists this ribosomal RNA (884 nucleotides) under uncultured archaeon. RNAcentral describes it as "bacterial SSU rRNA". It matches the Rfam family "Archaeal small subunit ribosomal RNA", at positions 459 to 1344 of the family's 1478-position model. The record is from RNAcentral.